This 401-nucleotide ribosomal RNA is filed under the name uncultured bacterium. RNAcentral's name for it is "bacterial SSU rRNA". It matches the Rfam family "Bacterial small subunit ribosomal RNA", at positions 356 to 774 of the family's 1533-position model. The record is from RNAcentral.
GGGGAAUAUUGGACAAUGGGGGAAACCCUGAUCCAGCAAUGCCGCGUGAGUGGAGAAGGCCUUAGGGUUGUAAAGCUCUUUCGCCCGCGAAGAUAAUGACGGUAGCGGGAGAAGAAGCCCCGGCUAACUCCGUGCCAGCAGCCGCGGUAAUACGGAGGGGGCUAGCGUUGUCCGGAUUUACUGGGUGUAAAGGGCGCGCAGGCGGGAUAAAAAGUCAGUGGUGAAAUCCUACAGCUUAACUGUAGAACUGCCUUUGAUACUUUUAUUCUUGAGCUCGGGAGAGAGAGACGGAAUUCCAGGUGUAGUGGUGAAAUACGUAGAUAUCUGGAAGAACACCAGUUGCGAAGGCGGUCUCUUGGUCCGACACUGACGCUGAGGCGCGAAAGCGUGGGGAGCAAACA